RNAcentral lists this ribosomal RNA (400 nucleotides) under uncultured bacterium. Its description in RNAcentral is "partial 16S ribosomal RNA". It matches the Rfam family "Archaeal small subunit ribosomal RNA", at positions 473 to 873 of the family's 1478-position model. The record is from RNAcentral.
AUACCCGCAGCCCAAGUGGUGGUCGAUUUUAUUGAGUCUAAAACGUUCGUAGCCGGUUCAUUAAAUCCUUGGGUAAAUCGGAUGGCUUAACUAUCCGAAUUCCGGGGAGACUGGUGAACUUGGGACCGGGAGAGGCAAGAGGUACUUUUGGGGUAGGGGUAAAAUCCUGUAAUCCUAAAAGGACCACCGGUGGCGAAGGCGUCUUGCUAGAACGGAUCCGACGGUGAGGGACGAAGCCCUGGGUCGCAAACGGGAUUAGAUACCCCGGUAGUCCAGGGUGUAAACGCUGCAGACUUGGUGUUGGGGACCCUUCGGGGGUGUUCAGUGCCGGAGAGAAGUUGUUAAGUCUGCUACUUGGGGAGUAUGUCCGCAAGGAUGAAACUUAAAGGAAUUGGCGGGG